UAGUCCACGCAGUAAACGAUGUACGCUAGGUGUAGGGGAUAUUAAAAUUUUCUGUGCCGCAGUUAACGCAAUAAGUGUACCGCCUGGGGAGUACGGUCGCAAGACUAAAACUCAAAGGAAUUGACGGGGGCCCGCACAAGCGGUGGAUCAUGUGGUUUAAUUCGAAGCAACGCGAAGAACCUUACCUGGGUUUGAAAUCCCGAGAAUCCCUUGGAAAAGAGGGAGUGCCCUUCGGGGAAUUCGGUGACAGGCGCUGCAUGGCUGUCGUCAGCUCGUGUUGUGAAAUGUUGGGUUAAGUCUCGCAACGAGCGGAACCCUUGUCUUUAGUUGCCAGCAUUAAGUUGGGCACUCUAAAGAGACCGCCGGGGUUAACCCGGAGGAAGGUGGGGAUGACGUCAAGUCCUCAUGGCCCUUAUACCCAGGGCUACACACGUGAUACAAUGGGUGGUACAAAGGGAUGCUGACCUGCGAAGGAUUGGCCAAUCUCAAAAAACCACUCUCAGUCCGGAUUGGAGUCUGCAACUCGACUCCA
RNAcentral lists this ribosomal RNA (532 nucleotides) under uncultured bacterium. Its description in RNAcentral is "bacterial SSU rRNA". It matches the Rfam family "Bacterial small subunit ribosomal RNA", at positions 791 to 1320 of the family's 1533-position model. The record is from RNAcentral.